RNAcentral lists this ribosomal RNA (420 nucleotides) under uncultured bacterium. Its description in RNAcentral is "bacterial SSU rRNA". It matches the Rfam family "Bacterial small subunit ribosomal RNA", at positions 917 to 1349 of the family's 1533-position model. The record is from RNAcentral.
GGACCCACACAAGCGGUGGAGCAUCUUGUUUAAUUCGAUAAUAAGCGGGGAACCUUACCUAGGCUUGACAUCCCACAGAAUUUUCUAGAAAUAGAAAAGUGCCUUUUGGAACUGUGGUGACAGGCGCUGCAUGGUCGUCGUCAGCUCGUGCCUUGAGGUGUUCGGUUAAGUCCGUAAACGAGCGCAACCCUAGUCGCAUGUUGUAUUUUCUCAUGCGAGACUGCCGGUUACAAAUCGGAGGAAGGUUAGGUCGAAGUCAGAUCAGCAUGGCCCUUAUGCCUAGGGCUACAAAGGUGCUACAAUGGUCGGUACAACGGGAAGCAAAGGAGUGAUCCCUAGCCAAUCCCCAAAGCCGAUCUAAGUUCGGAUUGUAGUCUGCAACUCGACUACAUGAAGUUGGAAUCGCUAGUAACCGCAUAU